RNAcentral lists this unclassified non-coding RNA (326 nucleotides) under uncultured Geminibasidiales. RNAcentral describes it as "sequence contains 5.8S rRNA gene, ITS2, 28S rRNA gene". The stretch from base 1 to 52 matches the Rfam family "5.8S ribosomal RNA", at positions 103 to 154 of the family's 154-position model. Lineage: Eukaryota; Fungi; Basidiomycota; Geminibasidiomycetes. The record is from RNAcentral.
AACGCAACUUGCGCCCUCUGGUAUUCCGGAGGGCAUGCCUGUUUGAGUGUCGUGAACACCUCAACCCUCCAAUGUUUUUUUUGCAUUGCAGGUGUUGGUAGUGAGCGCUGCCGGUCUUUGGAUCGGCUCGCUUUAAAAUCAUUAGCUGGAUCCAUUCUGACCUGGUUCUACUCGGCGUAAUAAGUUAUUAUCGUCGAGGACGCCUGGCCUUUGUAGGCAGGGCGGCCACAGUAAGGGUGUUUGAACCGCUUCCAACACGUCUUGCUCUUGUAGCAAACACUUGAACCUCUGACCUCAAAUCAGGCAGGACUACCCGCUGAACUUAA